AGUGAACGCUGGCGGCAGGCCUAACACAUGCAAGUCGAACGGCAGCACAAGAGAGCUUGCUCUCUGGGUGGCGAGUGGCGGACGGGUGAGGAAUGCAUCGGAAUCUGCCCAUUUGUGGGGGAUAACCUCGGGAAACCGGGACUAAUACCGCAUACGACCUACGGGUGAAAGCAGGGGAUCUUCGGACCUUGCGCAGAUGGAUGAGCCGAUGCCGGAUUAGCUAGUUGGAGGGGUAAAGGCCCACCAAGGCGACGAUCCGUAGCUGGUCUGAGAGGAUGAUAAGCCGCACUGGGACUGAGACACGGCCCAGACUCCUACGGGAGGCAGCAGUGGGGAAUAUUGGACAAUGGGCGCAAGCCUGAUCCAGCCAUGCCGCGUGUGUGAAGAAGGCCUUCGGGUUGUAAAGCACUUUUGUUGGGAAAGAAAAGCAGCCGGUUAAUACCCGGUUGUCAUGACGGUACCCAAAGAAUAAGCACCGGCUAACUUCGUG
This 490-nucleotide ribosomal RNA is filed under the name uncultured bacterium. RNAcentral's name for it is "partial 16S ribosomal RNA". It matches the Rfam family "Bacterial small subunit ribosomal RNA", at positions 29 to 507 of the family's 1533-position model. The record is from RNAcentral.